RNAcentral lists this long non-coding RNA (643 nucleotides) under Carica papaya (papaya). RNAcentral's name for it is "long non-coding RNA (CPAP_LNC006615)". The record is from RNAcentral. Lineage: Eukaryota; Viridiplantae; Streptophyta; Magnoliopsida; Brassicales; Caricaceae.
GUAGAGUUAGAAAUAUUUGAGUAACAUAGUAGAUUUGAAUUAGAUUAGAGAUAUCGAAAAUAAAGAAAAUCAAGUUAUGAAAGGCAAAACAAGUUAGUAGUAAACCAUAGGAGUAAAUUGAUCCUAGAGUAGCAACCUUAAUAAGGAAGUAAUAGAAGUGAGAAAGAAUCAUAAAAGAUUUAAAAAUCUAUUUAACCAGUAUCAAGGAGGGUAAUGUGUGAACGUAGCUAAUUUGGCAAGUGAAGUGUGGUGAACCCUACCCAUGGAUAUAUCCUCAGCCAUAUGUGGUUGGGAAGUCUCGUACAUAUCCGUCCCGUGUUUAGGUGUAUGUGGAAAGUGAUAAGUGAUUCUCAAUACAUAAUUAUUUCAUGUUUAGGUGCAUUAGGAAAGUGAAAGUAAUAAAGUGAUGUGAUAUAUCAUUGUGGUAGAGGAGAUCCUUAGUGCCCUCAUUGAUGCUGGCAGAAAUGACAUCGCACAAUGAAACUAUUUGUUAAUAAAACAAAAAAUGAAUAAAAAUGAACCUAAAACUAAGUAUCAAGAAUAUGGUAUAGAACACAAUUGAGAUGUAAUGUUCAAUGAAGUGUUUAGGCCAUUAAAGGGCGAAUGAUUUGAAAAAUUGCAAUAUGAUGUAGUGACAUGUUGU